CCAGGUCCCGUCGGUACGAGAAGCC
RNAcentral lists this microRNA (25 nucleotides) under Oreochromis niloticus (Nile tilapia). RNAcentral's name for it is "oni-miR-10898". Lineage: Eukaryota; Metazoa; Chordata; Actinopteri; Cichliformes; Cichlidae. The record is from miRBase by way of RNAcentral.